Long non-coding RNA from Podarcis raffonei (Aeolian wall lizard), 541 nucleotides. RefSeq lists it as uncharacterized. The record is from RefSeq and is a predicted model, not a curated record. The transcript is spliced from 3 exons. NCBI's taxonomy places the organism in Eukaryota, Metazoa, Chordata, Lepidosauria, Squamata, Lacertidae.
AGCAGGUCUGCUAUCAGCUAGAAGUCCUUAUGCCACUUGCCUCCAGUUAUGCUCUACUGGUAUAGAUACAGUUGCCCUUCUCGAUCAUCUUUUCCAGUUACAACAAGGGAGACGACACCCAUUUUGUGGUGGUAAGAAGCAGACCAGUUCGUCACACACGAAGGGGAGGGCGUCAUGCAGACAACAUCCAGCGAUGAGGUCUACUCUGCACAAUGUCAGAACUUUAGUUUGGUGGCAUCUAUCCUUUGGAUCUCCUUCACAUAACACACCAGGUAGGUACCUUCUCUGUUAUCUUUUCAGCACCUGCUAAAGACAUCCCUCUUUCACCAAGCUUCAGUUAGCUCAGUUGGUUAGAGUGUGGCGCUCAUAAUGCCAAGGUCGUGAGUUCAAUCCCUACAUGGGCCAGCUGCAUAUUCCUGUGUGUCAGAGAAGUUUUACUAGAUGAUCCUCAGGGUUCCUUCCAACUCUACAGUUCUACAGUUCUAAAAUAUUUAUCUUAGUUGGUACCUGUUUUGGAUUUGAAUUGAUUUUAUGUAUGUGU